Molecule: ribosomal RNA, 411 nt
Filed under: uncultured archaeon
Lineage: Archaea
Description: bacterial SSU rRNA
Rfam family: Archaeal small subunit ribosomal RNA
Source: RNAcentral
AAGAGCUGGGCAAGACCCGUGCCAGCCGCCGCGGUAACACGGGCAGCUCGAGUGGCGUUCGCGAAUAUUGGGCCUAAAGCGUACGUAGCCUGUUAGAUAAGUUCUUGGUGAAAGCUUGCGACUUAAUCGUGAGAGUUGCCAGGAAAACUGUUUGACUUGGGACCGGAAGAGGUCGGAGGUAUUCUCGGGGUAGGGGUAAAAUCCUGUAAUCCUGAGAGGACCAUCGGUGGCGAAGGCGUCCGACUGGGACGGGUCCGACGGUGAGGUACGAAAGCUAGGGGAGCGACCCGGAUUAGAUACCCGGUUAGUCCUAGCCGUAAAUGAUGUCUGUUUGGUAUUGCACUCCUUACGAGGGAUUGCAGUGCCGUAGGGAAGCCGUUAAACAGACCGCCUGGGAGUACGCCGCAAGGC